AGCAUGUGGGCUAAGCUGUGUGCUCGAGAGGGAAACAGCCCGGACCGCCCGCUAAGGUCCCCAAGUUCCAGCCGAGUGGCAAAGGAUGUGCGUCCGCCCAGACAACCAGGAUGUUGGCUUAGAAGCAGCCAUCCAUUCAAAGAGUGCGUAACAGCUCACUGGUCGAGUGGACAUGCGCCGACAAUACACGGGGCUAAGCUGGACACCGAAGCGGCGGGAUUUUAAUUCAUUAGAAUCGGUAGGGGAGCUUCCCAUGGGCGGAGAAGCCGGAGGGCGACCGACGGUGGAGCGCAUGGGAGUGAGAAUGCUGGCAUGAGUAGCGAGAGACGAGAGAGUAACUCGUCCGCCGUGAACCCGAGGUUUCCUGGGCAAGGCUAAUCCUCCCAGGGUCAGUCGGGGGCUAAGGCGAGGCCGGGAGGCGUAGCCGACGCGCAGCAGGCAGACAUUCCUGCACCGCGCACGCGGCGCUACGACCGACGGGGCGACGGAUGGGGGUGGCUCGGCGGGGUUCUGGACGUCCCCGUGAUGGAGCGCGGCCCGCGGACCAGGGAAAUCCGGUCCGCAUUGAGGGCGAGGCUCCGGACGAAGCGACUGAGCGAAGCGAGUGAGCCCGAGGUCCCUAGAAAAACCCCUAGGCAGGCGCGUGCGCGCCCGUACCGCAAACCGACACAGGUGGGUGGGUAGAACAUACCGAGGCGAUCGGGUCAACCAUGGUCAAGGAACUCGGCACAAUGGCCCCGUAACUUCGGGAGAAGGGGUGCCCGCGCGUACGUGAACGGACUUGCUCCGGGAGCGGAGGCGGGCCGCAGUGGAGAGGCCCAAGCGACUGUUUACCAAAAACACAGGACUCUGCAGAAGCCGCAAGGCGACGUAUAGGGUCUGACGCCUGCCCGGUGCCGGAAGGUCACGCGGAGGAGUUAGCGCAUCGCGCGAAGCCCCGAAGCCAAGCCCCGGUAAACGGCGGCCGUAACUAUAACGGUCCUAAGGUAGCGAAAUUCCUUGUCGGGUAAGUUCCGACCUGCACGAAAGGCGCAACGACUUGGGCGCUGUCUCGACCAUGGACCCGGUGAAAUUGCACUGGUCGUGAAGAUGCGACUUACCCGCGGAAGGACGGAAAGACCCCGUGAACCUUCACUGCAGCUUGGCAUUGGCCGCUGGUCCCGCGUGUAGAGGAUAGGCAGGAGGCACAGAUCCGGAGGCGCCAGCCCCCGGGGAGCCGCCCUUGGAAUACUGCCCUCGCGCGACCGGCGUCCUAACCCGAGGCCGUCAACCGGCUCGGGGACCGUGCCAGGCGGGCAGUUUGACUGGGGCGGUCGCCUCCUAAAGGGUAACGGAGGCGCGCGAAGGUCCGCUCGGGACGGUCGGCAACCGUCCUUUUGAAUGCAAGAGUACAAGCGGGCUUGACUGCGAGGCCCACAAGCCGAGCAGGUGCGAAAGCAGGCUCUAGUGAUCCGGCGGCCCCGAGUGGGUGGGCCGUCGCUCAACGGAUAAAAGGUACUCCGGGGAUAACAG
RNAcentral lists this ribosomal RNA (1512 nucleotides) under human gut metagenome. RNAcentral describes it as "bacterial LSU rRNA". It matches the Rfam family "Bacterial large subunit ribosomal RNA", at positions 988 to 2480 of the family's 2925-position model. The record is from RNAcentral.